AGUGAACGCUGGCGGUAGGCCUAACACAUGCAAGUCGAACGGCAGCACAGUAAGAGCUUGCUCUUACGGGUGGCGAGUGGCGGACGAGUGAGAAAUACAUCGGAAUCUACUUUUUCGUGGGGGAUAACGUAGGGAAACUUACGCUAAUACCGCAUACGACCUACGGGUGAAAGCAGGGGAUCUUCGGACCUUGCGCGAUUGAAUGAGCCGAUGUCGGAUUAGCUAGUUGGCGGGGUAAAGGCCCACCAAGGCGACGAUCCGUAGCUGGUCUGAGAGGAUGAUCAGCCACACUGGAACUGAGACACGGUCCAGACUCCUACGGGAGGCAGCAGUGGGGAAUAUUGGACAAUGGGCGCAAGCCUGAUCCAGCCAUACCGCGUGGGUGAAGAAGGCCUUCGGGUUGUAAAGCCCUUUUGUUGGGAAAGAAAAGCAGCAGGUUAAUACCCCGCUGUUCUGACGGUACCCAAAGAAUAAGCACCGGCUAACUUCGUG
RNAcentral lists this ribosomal RNA (492 nucleotides) under uncultured bacterium. RNAcentral's name for it is "partial 16S ribosomal RNA". It matches the Rfam family "Bacterial small subunit ribosomal RNA", at positions 29 to 507 of the family's 1533-position model. The record is from RNAcentral.